CAGAGUUUAGCUAAGGAUAGUAUAGCAUCUCCCUUACACUGAGAAGUCCCCCGUGCGAAUCGGGUUGCUCUGA
Molecule: transfer RNA, 73 nt
Filed under: Phenacostethus smithi
Lineage: Eukaryota; Metazoa; Chordata; Actinopteri; Atheriniformes; Phallostethidae
Description: tRNA-Val
Rfam family: tRNA
About the family: Transfer RNA (tRNA) molecules are approximately 80 nucleotides in length. Their secondary structure includes four short double-helical elements and three loops (D, anti-codon, and T loops).
Source: RNAcentral